GGAUUAGAUACCCUGGUAGUCCACGCCGUAAACGAUGUGUGCUAGACGUCGGGUGUUCGGCAUUCGGUGUCGCAGCUAACGCAUUAAGCACACCGCCUGGGGAGUACGGCCGCAAGGUUAAAACUCAAAGGAAUUGACGGGGGCCCGCACAAGCGGUGGAGCAUGUGGUUUAAUUCGACGCAACGCGCAGAACCUUACCAGCCCUUGACAUCCCGGUCGCGGGGAGUGGAGACACACCCUUUCAGUUCGGCUGGACCGGAGACAGGUGCUGCAUGGCUGUCGUCAGCUCGUGCUG
Molecule: ribosomal RNA, 295 nt
Filed under: uncultured bacterium
Lineage: Bacteria
Description: partial 16S ribosomal RNA
Rfam family: Bacterial small subunit ribosomal RNA
Source: RNAcentral